This 120-nucleotide small nucleolar RNA is filed under the name Mus musculus (house mouse). RNAcentral describes it as "Small nucleolar RNA SNORA73 family". It matches the Rfam family "Small nucleolar RNA SNORA73 family". From Rfam's summary of the family: U17 (SNORA73A and SNORA73B) also known as E1 belongs to the H/ACA class of small nucleolar RNAs (snoRNAs). Vertebrate U17 is intron-encoded and ranges in length from 200-230 nucleotides, longer than most snoRNAs. It is one of the most abundant snoRNAs in human cells and is essential for the cleavage of pre-rRNA within the 5' external transcribed spacer (ETS). Lineage: Eukaryota; Metazoa; Chordata; Mammalia; Rodentia; Muridae. The record is from Rfam by way of RNAcentral.
UCAAAGUUCUUGAAAAUUAAAAUAUCUGUGUUCAGAGGACAGGUCUCCACCUGCAUAUUCUACAGCUUCUCAGAGUCCCGUGGAUGAUGACUGAGGAGACAAACCAUGCAGGAAACAAAA